RNAcentral lists this ribosomal RNA (465 nucleotides) under uncultured bacterium. RNAcentral describes it as "partial 16S ribosomal RNA". It matches the Rfam family "Bacterial small subunit ribosomal RNA", at positions 338 to 795 of the family's 1533-position model. The record is from RNAcentral.
ACUACGGGAGGCAGCAGUGGGGAAUAUUGCGCAAUGGGCGAAAGCCUGACGCAGCGACGCCGCGUGAGGGAUGAAGGUCUUCGGAUCGUAAACCUCUGUCAGCAGGGAAGAACGGUCACUGUGCUAAUCAGCAGUGAAUUGACGGUACCUGCAACGGAAGCACCGGCUAACUCCGUGCCAGCAGCCGAGGUAAUACGGAGGGUGCGAGCGUUAAUCGGAAUUACUGGGCGUAAAGCGCUCGUAGGCGGUAUGUCAAGUCAAGGGUGAAAUCCCCGCGCUCAACGUGGGAACUGACUUUGAAACUGGCAAACUGGAGUGUGUGAGAGGAUAGUGGAAUUCCAGGUGUAGGAGUGAAAUCCGUAGAUAUCUGGCGGAACAUCAGUGGCGAAGGCGACUAUCUGGCACAUAACUGACGCUGAGGAGCGAAAGCGUGGGUAGCAAACAGGAUUAGAUACCCGAGUAGUC